RNAcentral lists this long non-coding RNA (1729 nucleotides) under Sorghum bicolor (sorghum). RNAcentral describes it as "long non-coding RNA (SBIC_LNC001839)". The record is from RNAcentral. Lineage: Eukaryota; Viridiplantae; Streptophyta; Magnoliopsida; Poales; Poaceae.
ACACUAAACGACUUCAAAUAAAAAACUUUUCAACUACAAAGUUGUAGAUUGUGCUGAGGACUAUAACUUUAGUAUAAAAUUUGUCUUCAUUUGAGUUCAUAUGAAAAAGUUAUGAAUUAUUUUUUGAUAUAGACUUGUUAGAUCGCUUUGUUUUGACCCAGAUGAGAUUCAAAACCAAGCUUAGGGACCGAGAUGACACAAUUGAACAAGUUUAGGGACCGAGAUGACACAGAUGAACAAGUUUGAGGACCUAAACAAUCGAUUUGUGAGUUUAGGGACCGGGAUAACACGACAGCACAAGUUUAGGGACCGGAAGUGGACUUUACUCUAUUAAAAAAUACAUAAACUUAUGUUCACAUAUGUGUAUAUAAAAAAUGUGAAUACUACGAAAUUGUAAAAAUGAUUCUAGAAUUUAUAAUCUUUAAAGUAUCGUAUUACAAACUUUGUACUACUAUAUCUUUUAAACUACCAUAUUAUAAACUUUGCAUUGUUACGUUUAAAACUUUACACUUAGAACUUAAGCUUUGAAUUGUCAAAUUACAAACUUUAUGCUGCUAGAUUCAAUACUUUGUUAUAUCACAAUAUAACUUUGUAUUGAUAGAUUCAAAACUUUACACACAAAAUUAUAAUCUUUGAAAUAUCAAAUUACAAAUUUUUUAAUACUAGAUUCAGAACUUUGAACUACCACUUUAUAAACUUUGAUACGGCUAUGUUCAAAACUAAACUACCACAUUAUAAACUUUGUACUACUAGUUUCAUAAAUUUGAACCAUCACAUUAUAAACUUUACAUUGUUAGGUUCAAAACUUACACCCACAUAUAUAUGCACUGCUUUUACAUUGGGAGUAGGCGCAAAACAUGCCUUCCAUUUAGAUCCACCCAAAAUGUUUCUCUCGUACACUAGGAGUGAACACUAAAAAAAUCUCUGAUAGGUUCUCCAUCCACCAAAUAAAUGCUCCAAUUCUUGUUGCUAUCUCUCAAAAGUCUUUAUUGUCAAAAAAGAGUCAUGAGCUAUGCAAAAGUUAUUAUAAAGAGAAGAAAAUAGAGGGAGUAAAAAAGGGACAAGUGUCAUAGAGAUGAAAACAAUGAGUACUCAGAUGCUCGCCUCCCUAAAAGAAAAAAAAGAGAAAAGAAAAAAAUAUUUUGUAUUGCUAUUCAAUAUUUUAUAAACAUUACACUCAAAUUUAUAAAUUUUGAAAUAUUAAAUUAUAAACUUUGUAUUGCUAUUCAAUAUUUUGAUCUAUCACAAUAUAAACUUUUUAUUACUAACUUUAAAAUAUUAAAAUUUUGAUCUAUUCAGUACUUUACACUCAGAAUUUAUAAACUUUGAACUAUCACAUUACAAACUUUGUACUAUUAUGUUCAAAACUUUAAACUAUCACAUUUAUGAACUUUGUACUGAUAGGUUCAAAAGUUUACACUUAGAGUUUAUAAACUUUGAACUAUCACGUCACUAACUUUGUAUUGCUUGAUUCAAUACUUUAUUCUAUCAUAUUACAAAUUGUAUAGCUACAUUCAAAACUUUACACUUAGAAUUCUUAAACUUUGAACUAUCACAUUACAAACUUUGAAAUGUUAGGCUCAAACUUUGAACAACAUAUUGUAACAUUUACAUUGUUAGAUUUAUAACUUAACUUUCAAAAUUAACAAAAUUUAAAGUAUGACAUUACAAACUUUAUACUACUAGGUUCAAAACUUUAAACUACCAAAUUGUAAACUUUACACCGCCA